This 65-nucleotide transfer RNA is filed under the name bovine gut metagenome. It matches the Rfam family "tRNA", at positions 5 to 66 of the family's 71-position model. From Rfam's summary of the family: Transfer RNA (tRNA) molecules are approximately 80 nucleotides in length. Their secondary structure includes four short double-helical elements and three loops (D, anti-codon, and T loops). Further hydrogen bonds mediate the characteristic L-shaped molecular structure. tRNAs have two regions of fundamental functional importance: the anti-codon, which is responsible for specific mRNA codon recognition, and the 3' end, to which the tRNAs corresponding amino acid is attached (by aminoacyl-tRNA synthetases). tRNAs cope with the degeneracy of the genetic code in two manners: having more than one tRNA (with a specific anti-codon) for a particular amino acid; and 'wobble' base-pairing, i.e. permitting non-standard base-pairing at the 3rd anti-codon position. The record is from RNAcentral.
UCUAUAGCUCAGUUGGUAGAGCAACAGAUUCGUAACCUGUAGGUCGGGAGUUCGAUUCUCCCUAG